Molecule: long non-coding RNA, 277 nt
Filed under: Sitophilus oryzae (rice weevil)
Lineage: Eukaryota; Metazoa; Arthropoda; Insecta; Coleoptera; Curculionidae
Description: uncharacterized LOC115878451, transcript variant X1
Source: RNAcentral
UCAUGUAUUGUGUAUUUUUUAAGAGAAAGGUAUUUUUUAGAAUUAUUAGGUUCGAGAAUUAUCUAGACUUGGUGGUUCAGGAGUAGCACAAAGUACAAGGAAAGUGCUUUAUAAGGUUCUGGGCAAUGAAAUUGCACAAAAAUAUUGGGGCCAAACAGAAGAGAAGUUUGAAAUCAUUUUUAGUGGCCAAAAGCAAUUUUAGACUCCAUGAAAGGUCAAUUUCAAGAGUCAAAAGAAACCGAAAUUAUCAAUAUAAUUAAAAUAUGGCUUGUAAAAA